Chelonoidis abingdonii (Abingdon island giant tortoise) is the source of this 1600-nucleotide non-coding RNA. The record is from RefSeq and is a predicted model, not a curated record. Lineage: Eukaryota; Metazoa; Chordata; Testudines; Testudinidae.
AACACACACACACACACACACCCCUUCUAAUUCUUUCAGUUUGAGGAAUCUUAUAAAUAUAAUUCCUGCCUCCACCCUCUACCAAGGAGAAGGGGCAGCAGCAUGGGAACUGCACCUCAGAAGGACCUCUGUCAAGCACAGCGCCUCCAGGCGUGGGGCAGGUUCUGGACCAAGCCUUGUGCAGGUCUGUGCCAAAAGGCACAAUUUGGCUCACCGUAGGUAAAAGGUUGUCAGACAGAAAUGUGAAUCUUGAAGUUGAUGGGAUCCCUUUAACGUUUAUUCACACAGCUUUGAAAAUUUUGUCAGUAUACUCUUGCUGUAGCAAAGCUCACAUCUGAGCCAAAGAGAAAAGCCCUGUUAUAGCAAAGGGUUCAGUAUACAAUACCAAACAGCCUUCUGCCUCUGACAAUGGGGAGAAAAAAGUUGAAAUCACUCUUUAUGAAAAGAAGCAUUUGCAAUAGGAAAAGUAAUAUGAAAAACUGUAAACCUUGCCUAGAAAUGAAACACACAGCUCUGAUGCUUAGAUUAAAAACAAGUUGUUUUGCUCUUACAUGUGAUGCGUACAAUGUGCAGCUGUUCACAAAAGACCAGAAGACUUAAUAUAUGAACAAGUAAGAUUGCUAGCUUUGUUCCUUUCUUAUUAUAAAAGCCAUAUCUAUUUUACCUGUUCCACUGUUAUAACAAUGUGCUCUGGUAGAAUUAAGACUUUAUUUUUCUCUCUUUGGCGUUUGUGUUGGGUGUGCACAGAGGAGAGAGAAAGAGAGAAACUAAUAACACUUUGCUGUUAGUCUGUGUAGUGUCUUUCAUCCCAGGAUCUCUAAGUGCUUUUCAAAGGAUGGGUACAGUAGGUAUUAUUCUUAUUAUUAAUUUUCCCAUUUUACAGCUGGGGAAAUAGAUUAAUGAAGAAUACGAAUUUUAUAUUCAGCUCUUAUGUUGAAGUUAAAUAUUACACGUACUCUUUUUUCACAUAGGAGUCGCAUACCUCCUCUCUAGGUUGUCUGUAUUAUCAGGAUCCAAAAGGCAAAGUUCAUAAUAAACUUCAAGUUGCAAUAACAUUUGAAUAUCUGCUUAAAAUCUAUUUCUGUAAAAAUUAACAUCCUGACCCUUGACAUGAGAGAUGGAAGACUUGGUCUCACUAACUUCAGUGUGAGGGUUGUUGGCAGCAGCAGCUUUCAGAGCAAAGCUAGGACUGCAGUUAUGCUCCAUUGGUGUGAUUUUUCUCUCCUCACCUUGGAGUAAGCUUCUUUUGUUCUUCUUUUUCUCUUCUCUCCUUUUGUGCCUGACUGCUUUGUUCUAACGUGCAUCAGUUUCAAGGAGCAUUUUAUUCACUUUCUUGUUUGCAUUAGGCAUUUUUUUCUUUAAUUUUCCAGUAUUGCUAAAACCAGUGCAACUCCACCAAUGGUGGCAAUAUUGAGAACCUUAAUGUAGACAAGGGAACACUGGCUGCCAGCAUUUUUACUGAGCAUAGCAUAGACUGACAUGAAAUCCUUGUCUACACUCCCAGUAUUACCAUCAUUGGCUGCUAGAUUGGUCCCAUAGGGCCACUAGCAUCCAACACAUAAUAUCAGAGGGGUAGCCGUGUUAGUCUGGAUCUGUAAAA